AAUUGUUCGCCAAACAACUACGAGUAACACUUAAAACUUAAAAGACUUGACGGUGCUUCACCCCGACCUAGAGGAGCCUGUCUAAUAACCGACAAUCCACGAUUAACCCAACCACUUCUUGCCUUAACAGUCUAUAUACCGCCGUCGCCAGCUUACCUUGUAAAAGAAAUAAAGUGAGCCAAACAGUAACACACUAAAACGACAGGUCGAGGUGUAACUUAUGAAAUGGGCCAAGAUGGGCUACAUUCUCCAACCGAGAAUACGAAUAACACUAUGAAAUUUAUGCUUAAAGGCGGAUUUAGCAGUAAGAUAAGAAUAAAAUACCUAACUGAACAUAACGCAAUGAAGUGCGCACACACCGCCCGUCAUCCCUGCCACCAC
Molecule: ribosomal RNA, 381 nt
Filed under: Trimeresurus malcolmi (Malcom's pitviper)
Lineage: Eukaryota; Metazoa; Chordata; Lepidosauria; Squamata; Viperidae
Description: partial 12S small subunit ribosomal RNA
Source: RNAcentral